This 612-nucleotide ribosomal RNA is filed under the name Trichocoma paradoxa. RNAcentral describes it as "eukaryotic LSU rRNA". It matches the Rfam family "Eukaryotic large subunit ribosomal RNA", at positions 40 to 667 of the family's 3401-position model. Lineage: Eukaryota; Fungi; Ascomycota; Eurotiomycetes; Eurotiales; Trichocomaceae. The record is from RNAcentral.
AUAUCAAUAAGCGGAGGAAAAGAAACCAACAGGGAUUGCCUCAGUAACGGCGAGUGAAGCGGCAAGAGCUCAAAUUUGAAAUCUGGCCCCGCGGGGGGUCUGAGUUGUAAUUUGGAGAGGAUGCUUCGGGUACGGUCCCCAUCUAAGUGCCCUGGAACGGGCCGUCAUAGAGGGUGAGAAUCCCGUCUGGGAUGGGUGACCGGGCCCGUGUGAAGCUCCUUCGACGAGUCGAGUUGUUUGGGAAUGCAGCUCUAAAUGGGUGGUAAAUUUCAUCUAAAGCUAAAUAUUGGCCGGAGACCGAUAGCGCACAAGUAGAGUGAUCGAAAGAUGAAAAGCACUUUGAAAAGAGAGUUAAACAGCACGUGAAAUUGUUGAAAGGGAAGCGCUUGCGACCAGACUCGGUCAGGGGGUUCAGCCGGUACUCGUACCGGUGCACUUUCCCCUGGCUGGGCCAGCGUCGGUUUGGGCGGCCAGUUAAAGGCCCCGGGAAUGUGUCGCCCUUCAGGGCGUCUUAUAGCCCGGGGCGCAAUGUGGCCAGCCCGGACUGAGGAACGCGCUUCGGCUCGGACGCUGGCAUAAUGGUCGUAAGCGGCCCGUCUUGAAACACGGACC